ACGUACACUCCUGCGGGAGGCAGCAGUGGGGAAUAUUGGACAAUGGGCGCAAGCCUGAUCCAGCCAUGCCGCGUGAGUGAUGAAGGCCCUAGGGUUGUAAAGCUCUUUCACCGGUGAAGAUAAUGACGGUAACCGGAGAAGAAGCCCCGGCUAACUUCGUGCCAGCAGCCGCGGUAAUACGAAGGGGGCUAGCGUUGUUCGGAUUUACUGGGCGUAAAGCGCACGUAGGCGGACUAUUAAGUCAGGGGUGAAAUCCCGGGGAUCAACCCCGGAACUGCCUUUGGUACUGGUAGUCUUGAGUUCGAGAGAGGUGAGUGGAAUUCCGAGGGUAGAGGUGAAAUUCGUAGAUAUUCGGAGGAACACCAGUGGCGAAGGCGGCUCACUGGCUCGAUACUGACGCUGAGGUGCGAAAGCGUGGGGAGCAAACAGGAUUAGAAACCCUAGUAGUCCCAUGA
Molecule: ribosomal RNA, 455 nt
Filed under: uncultured organism
Description: partial 16S ribosomal RNA
Rfam family: Bacterial small subunit ribosomal RNA
Source: RNAcentral